GGGCGGUUAGCUCAGCUGGAUAGAGCGUUGGCCUCCGGAGCCAAAGGCCACAGGUUCGAAUCCUGUACCGCCCACCA
This 77-nucleotide transfer RNA is filed under the name Desulfobacterales bacterium. Its description in RNAcentral is "tRNA-Arg". It matches the Rfam family "tRNA". From Rfam's summary of the family: Transfer RNA (tRNA) molecules are approximately 80 nucleotides in length. Their secondary structure includes four short double-helical elements and three loops (D, anti-codon, and T loops). Lineage: Bacteria; Pseudomonadati; Thermodesulfobacteriota; Desulfobacteria; Desulfobacterales. The record is from RNAcentral.